CUGGCGCACGAUGACGCUGGCGGCGUGCUUACACAUGCAAGUCGAACGUGAAGCCCGGUACCUAGUAUUGGGUGGAAAGUGGCGGACGGGUGCGUAACACGUUGGUGACCUGCCCCGAGGUGGGGGAUAACCGUGGGAAACCACGGCUAAUACCCCGGAUGCCAAAGUAUUUAGAAAGCUUUGGCUAAAGCUCCGGCGCCUCGGGAGGGGCCUGCGGGCUAUCAGCUUGUUGGUGGGGUAAUGGCCUACCAAGGCAAAGACGGCUAGGGGGCGUGAGAGCGCGACCCCCCACAAUGGAACUGAGACACGGUCCAUACUCCUACGGGAGGCAGCAGUGAGGAAUAUUGCGCAAUGGGGGCAACCCUGACGCAGCAACGCCGCGUGGAUGAUGAAGGCCUUCGGGUUGUAAAAUCCUUUUCCGGGGGAAGAAUCAUGACGGUACCUCGGGAAUAAGUCCCGGCUAACUACGUGCCAGCAGCCGCGGUAAAACGUAGGGGGCGAGCGUUAUCCGGAUUUACUGGGCGUAAAGCGCACGUAGGCGGCGCUGUAAGUUGGGCGUGAAAGCUCCCGGCUCAACUGGGAGAGGUCGUUCAAAACUGCAGUGCUUGAGGUUGGAAGAGGAGAGUGGAAUUCCCGGUGUAGUGGUGGAAUGCGUAGAUAUCGGGAGGAACACCAGUGGCGAAGGCGGCUCUCUGGUCCAACCCUGACGCUGAGGUGCGAAAGCGUGGGGAGCGAACGGGAUUAGAUACCCCGGUAGUCCACGCUGUAAACGAUGUAUACUAGGUGUGGGAGGUUA
RNAcentral lists this ribosomal RNA (796 nucleotides) under uncultured organism. RNAcentral's name for it is "bacterial SSU rRNA". It matches the Rfam family "Bacterial small subunit ribosomal RNA", at positions 19 to 832 of the family's 1533-position model. The record is from RNAcentral.